RNAcentral lists this ribosomal RNA (253 nucleotides) under uncultured bacterium. RNAcentral describes it as "partial 16S ribosomal RNA". It matches the Rfam family "Bacterial small subunit ribosomal RNA", at positions 524 to 776 of the family's 1533-position model. The record is from RNAcentral.
UACAGAGGGUGCGAGCGUUAAUCGGAAUUACUGGGCGUAAAGCGCGCGUAGGCGGUUUUUCAAGUCGGAUGUGAAAUCCCCAGGCUCAACCUGGGAACUGCAUUCGAGACUGGAUUACUAGAGUAUGGGAGAGGGAAGUGGAAUUUCCGGUGUAGCGGUGAAAUGCGUAGAUAUCGGAAGGAACAUCAGUGGCGAAAGCGACUUCCUGGACCAAUACUGACGCUCAUGUGCGAAAGCGUGGGGAGCAAACAGG